This is a long non-coding RNA of Carya illinoinensis, 9067 nucleotides long. RefSeq lists it as uncharacterized. The record is from RefSeq and is a predicted model, not a curated record. The transcript has 4 exons. NCBI's taxonomy places the organism in Eukaryota, Viridiplantae, Streptophyta, Magnoliopsida, Fagales, Juglandaceae.
UGAAUUUUGGGGCGAGAAAAUUUUCGCUAAAAUUUAUUUCAGCAAUUGUUUGCAUUUAAGGCGUCACCCGACGGCCGCUAAAACAUUUGUAGUCGCCGCAAAAUGUCACGAUUUCAAAAUUUAUUUUUCCCCCAUCCCGAAAGUUUGUGUUUUCUUCGUUCGGCGAUGCUCUAUCCCUUGCCUGCUUUAACCCAACUAAUUACUUCAUCUCCUCGUAACGUUCGUUAUUUUAGGGCUUUGAUAUUCCUUCCAUUCCUGACGUCUCCUCAAUCUUUCACAUGAUCCAACCAUGCUACUUAAACCGUGAGGACGAAUACAUCUUGUUCCAACAAUAUUGGCAGCUUGCAAUUGACGAAUAUAUACCACAGUCGCUUCAAGGUUUUGUAGUUUGAGAAUAUUUCUCACAGGUGACAUGCUUGUGGAGCUUAGGAGAUUGUGGGAAAUAGGGGAGGAAAGUAGAAGACAAUUUGGAGGUUUCCCCUAAUCAGGAGGUCUUUGGUGAGGGGUGCCUUGGUGGAAUUAUGGUACCUAGCUCAGAUCAUAAACCCCUUUUUACCAUAAAAUAGAUAUGAUGUAAUAUUGUUAUGUCUGUCAGUAUGUAAACUUCAUUUAUAAAGAUCUAUAUGUAAACUACGUACUACUCAUUUAUAUUGAGAGUCCUUCUACAUCCACCAACUAAAUCUACCAAGGUUGGAUCCCGACUGACGUGGCAUGCCACGUGGAUUUAUUUUAAAAAAAUCUAAAUUGUGCUGAGCUGAAGCAUACCCAAAGCCAUACCAAUGCAGUAACCCCGAUUUUCAUUCCUGUUGCAGUGUAUAGCCAGCAAUCUUGCCGUAAAAAUCAAGUAUCACAGAGAGAUGGUUCUGAGAGAUUUUCCAGAAAUGCUUGUUUACCCUGCCCAGUGCACUACUUUCACCACCAACAAACUUCAUUCCUUGGUUAACUUGUCUUACUAGAAGUCAUGAAUUGUUAGAUUAUGAUGGAAGUAUGUAUCUCAAAUUUCUUAUCAGAUCCGAUUUCAAUUUGACCUUUCCAAAGUAACACCUUUUCUCUUCUUUUUAGCACCCUUUGUGGAUUUCUCUGACUUUGCCGACGGACUUGCUCUACAUCACUCUUCAUUCCUCUCUCUCUCUCCCCCCCGGGCGUAUUUCUCUUACCCCUUCCUAGCAAGUAUAAACCCUUAGAAAUUUUAUUUUAGGAAUAAUUCACCACACACAUGUGGAACCUUUUAGAGAUUGACUAAUAACAUCAUCAAUUAUGUUCCUAAAAUUGACAAAUGACUGAACGUUCCUAAAAUUAACAUCAUCAUAUUUUCCCCUAGACUAGGAAUCUUGAUGUUUCCAUUUCUUUCUUGUGAUGACGAGUGAUGCUACAGAUUUUCAAGAUUGAAGAACUGCCUAACUUUCUUCUGUUCUGGUGCUUCGAAUGCGGUUGUAUAACUGGAAUAUGAUGCUUUAUUUAUUUUGCCUAUGUGGGGUACGGAGUUCUUGAAUUGAUUUAGAUCUCCUCUUCCUUUCAUGUAGAUUCUGCACUGUCACCUACCACCAGCAAACUUGGUGGCUUGAAAACAUAUUUUCUGUUUUGAUUGUGUGCAGCCUUAUGUUUUGGCUUGAUGUUAACUUGCAUGAGUCAUAUUUUUAGCAGAGAACUUGAGAUCAGGACUAUGUAUAACGUAGUGGAAAUGUACAAAUAUAGGAAAAUUCAAGAAGAGCUGUGUCUUCUCAAACAAUGAAUCAUAAGUUUAUUGAUAAACUCUGUAAUGCUUACAAUAAUUUAGAUCAUCCCCCAUUACAUUAUUUGGUUCCUUAAUAAAGGAAGCUUAGGCAACUUAGGAAAUUAAUUCAAAAUGGAAAGUAGACUACUGUAACGUUAACAAACUAAGGUAACUUUUAUUGGAAUGGACAUAAAAUCUGCAAGAGUUUUUUUAGGAAAGAAUAAAAUCAGCAAUCAUCCUUGAUUUGUGCUUGAAUCUUCUGAUGGUCUCUCCAUUCCUGGUGUCACAUCUGCUGCAUCAGAUUCUACCCCACUUGGAAGGAAACUCGACCUCGAGCUAAUUUCAGGGUAUAAUGCUUCAUCUGGAGGAUGGUACUCAAAUAUGUCCGCAACAUUGAAAGUAGGGGAAACUAACAUACCAUCGGAAAGGUUAACCACAUAGGCAUUGUCAUUGAUUCUUUACACAACUCGACAUGGUCCGAACUUCUUGUGCUUGAGCUUGUUGCAUGUCCCUGCAGGAAAACGUUGCUUACGAAGGUGAACCAUCACCAAGUCUCUCUCUUGAAAAUUUUUACUCGCCUAUGCUUAUCAGCUAUCUACUUGUAUCACGAGUUGGACUUCUCCAAAUUGAGGCUGACAUGGGAAUGAACUUGCUGAAUUUUUUCAGCCAUAUUUUCUGCUGCCGUGCUGAGUCUUGGAAGCCUUGGAAGAGGAAUCAAGUCUAGAGUGUGUUUUGGGGGUCGAGUGUACACAAUUUCGAAAGGAGACUUCCAGUUGAUCGAUUGAUCAUAUUGUUGAAAGCGAACUCUGCUUGAGGAAGACAUACAUCCCGUUGUUUCGGCUUGGCUCCUGAGAUGCAUCGAAUCAUAUUGCCUAGUGUGCAGUUAGUCACUUUAGUUUGCCCAUCUGUUUGCGGAUGGCAAGUGCUGCUGUAGUUAAGUCCGGUAUCAAAUUUCUUCCAAAGAGUGAUCCAAAAGUGGCUAAGAAAUUUGACGUCCCUAUCAGAAGUGAUUGAUUUUGGGUUUCCAUGAAGUCGCACGACUUCCUUGAAAAAGAGGUGAGCGAUGUUGGAGGCAUCGGCUAUCUUUCCGCACGGAAUGAAGUGGGCCAUCUUCAAGAAUCAAUCGACGACCACAAAGACGGAGUCCACUCCAUGCUGUGUUCGUGGGAGGCCAAGCACAAAGUCCAUACUCAUAUCUUCCCAAAUGUUCUCGGGCACGGGUAGAGGUGUGUACAACCCGGUAUUUUGCGAGUGACCCUUCCCCACUUGGCAAAUUGGGCAUUUCUGGAAAAACCUUCCCCCGUCUCGUCUUAGCUGAGGCCAAUAGUAACGUUUGGAUACUUGGGCUAUUGUCUUGUCAAGCCCCAGAUGCCCUCCUAGGCCACCCCCAUGCAAUUCAUGUAUUAGGUGUUUGCGCAGUGACGCUCGUGGUAUGCACAAUUGGUUGCCGUGAAAUAAGUACCCAUCUUGGACAUGAAAAUCAGCCACGGGUUGCCUGAGUUCGCACUUCUUCCAUGCCUCUGAGAAAUCAUCAUCUUCCACGUAAAAGGUUUGAGAGUUUGGUGCAUCACUCUCAUAAAAGUGCUAGGUGCAUUUGACAAGCCGAAUGGCAUGACCAGCCACUCAUAGAGUCCUUCCUUUGUUUUUAAAAGCUGUUUUCCAUUCAUCGCAGGGCCGAACUCUUAUUUGAUGGUAGCCACUCCUCAAGUCAAGCUUGGAAAAAAAUUUUGAGCCUGCAAACAUAUCUAGCAUGUCAUUCAGUCGUGGUAUGGGAAAUCUAUAUUUUACGGUGAUUUUGUUGAUGGCGCGACUGCCCAUGCACAUUCACCAACUUUCGUCCUUCUUGGGGGUGAGUAAGGCCGGAACAGCACAAUGACUCAUGCUUUCUCGAAUCAGCCCCUUGCGGAUGAGGUCUUCAACUUGGUCUUGUAAGAUAUUGUGUUCAUUGGGGCUCAUUCAGUAUUGCAGUAAAUUGGGGAGACUAGCACCCGGCACCAAGUCAAUGCAAUGUUGUAUGUCACACAUGGGAGGGAGUCCAGCUGGUAGCUCUUGUGGGGUGAUGUCCAAUAAUUCUUUAAGAAAGAACUGCACGGUUGGUGGCAAAUCGGUUAUGGCCUCCUCUGUCCUUCCUUUCACGACUAGUGUCACAAUCUUGCCACAUUCCUUUGCAUCAAUUAGGAAUUGGUCUUUGCUCACAGUAAGAAAGCUAGCUUUCUUCGCAAGUGAUGUUGUGUCAGGCGGUCACUCUCCUGCAGGUAGCAGUGUCACUUUCCGUUCAUGCCACCAAAACAUAUACGUGUUAUCGCGCCCCCUGUAUGUGGUGUCCACAUCGUAUUGCCAAGGUCUCCCGAGUAACAUGUGACAAGCAUCCAUAUACACCACAUUGCAAUCUGCCACAUCAUUGUAAAAUUUACGAAUUGAAAAAGGAAUUUUAUAGGUGGUAGUUACCUUCAUCUCAACCCCCUUCUUGAUCCAAAUGAUCUUGUAAGGUUUGGGAUGCUUCUUUGUGUCUAGUUGUAAUGUUGAAACCAACGCCCUUGACACUAUGUUUUCACAACUCCCGCUAUCGAUGAUCAAGUUGCAAACUUUGUGAUUAAUGGUGCAACUAGUUUUGAAGAUAACAUGCCUUUGAGUGUGGUCUUCCUGCUUUGGUGCUAAUAGGAGUUGUUGAAUGACACAAUUCACCAAGUCUCCUUCAUCACCUUUGACAAGCUUACCUUCUUCCUCUGAUCCCUCGUCAUCUUCCCUAGCCGAGUCUUCACCAUCUGCUAUGUUGACUGACCUUCUUGCAGGGCACUUGUUGGAGUGAUGUCCUGGUUGGUUGCAACGGAAACAUUUACCGGUGAUCGGCCUGCUGUAAGGAUUGUUGCCAGUGCUCCCUCUACUCCCUGCCGGGGUGGUGUUGGACUUAGGGGCUUGAUAGUUAUUCUGUGUCGUUGGGUCUCGACUAGAGGAAGGAACAUGUGGUGGAUUCGGCUGAACAGGUGGUUCAAUUCCUUUGUUUGCUGGUGAGAAACUUGGUGUCCUAGUGGGGGGUUGGGAGAGUUGUGAUUCAAUCUUCAUUGCCAAAUUGACUGCUUCUGAGAGAGUCCAAAUGGUGUGUAGUGUCACUUUGUCUUGUAUGGCAACGCGUAUCCCUAAAAUAUACUUGGCCACCUGUUAUCCUUCUGUUUCUGAUAGGUUGUUCUGGAGUUUAGGCGAUAGAACUACUCAGUGUAUUCAUUAAUGGACCUUGUGCUUUGUCUGCAGCUUUGAUAUUUUUGGUAUAGGAGCUGCUCAUAAUCUGGUGGGAGAAAUCGAGUCCUCAUCAGCCUUUUCAUCUUGUGCCACACAAGGACGGGUUGCUUGCCUUGUCGUCUCCAGUUAUUUUGAGUCUGUUCCCACCAAGCUGAUGCGCCACCAUGUAGUUUAUAGGCCACCAAUUUCACUUGUUGAUUCUCUGGUAUUUGCAUAUAGUCAAAAAAGUUCUCCACUUCCAGGAGCCAAUCAAGGAAGCUUUCGACGUGGAGAUGUCCAUUGAAACAUGGUAGAUCAAUUUUUAUUUUGAAGUUGGAAUUACCGUUGCGACCCCUUUGAUUUUCUCCUACCGCUGCGUCCUCAAGUUCAUCCUCACUGGAGGAAUCGUCUCCAGUGUUGCCUAUUGGUGGCUGUCUGAGUCCCCUCCCUCUAGGGUGAGCAUGAUCCCGUUGCCUUUCAUUAUGGUCUCUAUUGCCUUCCACAUGGAGGUUGGUAAUAGACCUUUGGAUCUCCUGCAAGACGCGCUCGAUCCUUUCGAACCGCUGCUGGUUUUGUUGGUUUUGCAUUUGGAUGGAUUCCCAAAGGGCAUCAUCUCGAGGAUGGUUGUUAUCAUUUCUUGCCAUUGAACCAGGCGAAACCUUGCUCCGAUGCCAAUUAACGUAGUAGAAACGUACAAAUAUAGGAAAAUUCAAGAAGAGCUGUGUCUUCUCAAACAAUGAAUCAUAAGUUUAUUGAUAAACUCUGUAAUGCUUACAAUAAUUCAGAUCAUCCCCCAUUACAUUAUUCGGUUCCUUAAUAAAGGAAGCUUAGGCAACUUAGGAAAUUAAUUCAAAAAAGAAAUUAGACUACUGUAACGUUAACAACUAAGGUAACUUUUAUUGGAAUGGACAUAAAAUCUGCAAGAGUUUUUUUAAGAAAGAAUAAAAUCGGCAAUCAUCCUUGAUUUGUGCUUGAAUCUUCUGAUGGUCCCUACAUUCCUGGUGUCACGUCUGCUGCAUCAGUGUAAUUCUGCUCAACUUGCAUCUGGUUUGAAGGCUUGCAGGUGCUAUUGUCUGAUGCAUCCUUAAUACGAGAAACAUCAAUUUGUGUCAAGAAGUGCUGCUGCAAGAUAUGUAGAGGAAAGAUUGAGAUCAAGAGGGUCGAGAACACUACCAAUCGUCAAGUCACCUUCUGCAAGCAGGGUAAUGAACUCUUGAAGAAAGGUUAUGAAUUAUCAGUCUUAUGUGAUGCAGAAGUAGCAUUCCUCGUCUUUUCUAGUUGUGGACGCCUCUAGGAGUACUCAAACAAGUAAAUUAAUUUCCUCUUUAUUUUUCAUUUUUGAUUGCUCAACAUAUUAAUGAUGAUCUGCUCCUCAAAUUGAUUAUCUGCAAUCUAUAUAUAAGAUAUCUUGUUCAGCUUCUUUACUUAGCUAAGACAUUAGUGGUGUGCAAUCUAUCAUUGUUACUUGAGAAGAUUACGGUGGAUCUAUAUUUCUUGUUAGGUUUAUUCAUAUUGUCCAUAUAUAUAUAAAGAUUUUAAUAGUGCUAGAUUUAGUUAUUUCAAUGAUAAUUAUAUAUCCUAUAAAGGGAAGACAACAAACCCUUGGUACUGCAUGUGUGUUGCUAUUUCAAGUAUUAUAUUUUUUAUGUAUUCUACUUUAGUGCAAUUUUGUUUUUUAUAUUUUGUGAAAAAUCUUUUCCGGCCAGUGAACUUUGUCGGAAAAAUUUUAUCGCCAGAAAAUUGUUUUUGAAAAUAGUCUUUCCGGUGAUUUACUGCCGCUGGAAAUAACUCCAUUGGACCUGUUAGAUUAUUUCCGGCGAGUCAUUAACACCGAUAAAAGUAUUUCUGGUAACAAAAAUUGCCAGAAAAGAUUGCUGGCGAGAUUUAACCAUGGUUUAAACCAUAUUUAGUGGUGCUUUUUUAAAACCAUCUGCGCGCGGUAAAAAAACUUUUUUGGCAAGCUCACAAAGGUUAGCCGGAAAAUUCUUUUUUGCACUAGACAAUUGUGGCAAUAGUCCAGGGAGCAAACUUUUGCCGAAAAUAAGUUAUCUUAACGAUUUAUAGGUGUUUUGCAGCUACUUUUGAUAGUCGGAAAAAACCAAAUUUCUUGUAAUGAAAACUUGGGGACGAGAACAAUUGGUAGCACAAAUUGGCAAAUAUGAAGAAAUAUUUUUUCAAGCCAAAAGAACCACAAACCUGAAGAUUUAAUCAUUGGAUACUUGUGUAUAAUGGAAUGGGUCUAGUGUCUAUAAUGUUAACACCAGGUAACUUACCCAAAAAGCCAUUCAGUGCAUGGUUAACAUGUAUAGAAAACUAAGGAACAUGGGAUUUUUCUAUAAUCUUGUAUUUAAAAUCUCUAGUGGUGCUUAAUAUUCAUAUAAGUAUACUCAUCAACUUUGAAGAGAAUACUGCAUUUUUUGGUUUUUCCCGAUUUUCUUACUUUUUGGUUUGCCAGAUUUUACAAUCAUUGCAAGUAAGCUUUUCUAAAUAUCAUCAUUUUUUCAUUAAUUAUCGCUAAGGUGAUAUGCAUAAUGCUUGUCUAAUCCAGUGUUAAGAGUAUGUUUAUUCUUGGAAAUGAAGUCUAAAACCCUGGAAUCUGCAUCAAUUGAAUUCCAUGCUAGACAAUGAUAUCUAUUUCAGAUUCUUUUGCGUUCAGACUGUACUUAGCAAUUAUUAUCAACUGAUUUUCAGGCAGCAUCUAUGUUCAAAGGACCAGUUCCUCCCAUCGUCCCAUUUUCUUUAGGGUCUCUUGGCUUUAUGACCCCUUUCCGUAUCUUCCUCCUUGUUUAAAGGCAUUUGUUUCUCUAACAAUUUGAUAAUCCAAUGACGCCACUUUAUACAAUGGCCUCAGCCACCCACACCUUUUUAUGACAUCUUUCACAUAAUUGUUGGCUUUCUCCUAUCUGACUGGAAGUUGGUCCUUCAUAUUCUUCAAACUGAAAUUAACACAGAAUGCCUUGACUCUGUUUCUGAGGGUUCAAUUAGCUAGUAUCACAUUACAACACCGUUUGCAGUGUCAUGUUAUUAGGGAUGCGGCUAAAAAUGAGUAUGAUACUGAAGAACCAAUACUUGUUUUGAAUGAGGUUACAAUUGAUUGUGGAAUAUCAUCAUACCUUACAAAAUUGGAAUGCUAUUGUGACGACAGCUAUGUUUUUGCCUCCAUAUCUUACAAUAAGAACAGUGUUAUAUAAUUUAGGCACGUAAUCUUACAAGGAAAUUUAUUUCUUUGGGUUGUAUAGGGUAAUUCAUGCUUAAUAUCCAGAAAGAUAUUCGAGUUAGAAUAUCUUAUAUUGAAGGCUACAAUGAAUUUUCCUUGUGUGAUCUUGCAAGUGGAAAGCCUAUACCAAUUGAAAAAGCCGCUUGCCUAUUAUAGAUAAUUACUGCAACUUGUGUAGCUUUGUUUUAGCUGUACCUGCUGAUAAACAAUACUAUUUGCAUAACUUUCACACAGGAAAUAUUUUUGUUUUCCUCUUAUAAAGGGAAGCAACAUAUGCACACCAUAUAGAUACAAUCAAUCAAAAUAAUUAUGGUGUUUGAGAUGCUUGUAACAUACAGAUGGCAGCUGUUUAAUUUGCAUUGAAAGCAUGUUAAUUGUGUGAUAGUAUGUGUACUUGCUCUGGGAAAAUGUUUUACAAUCCUGGCACAAAUGCUCUAAAUGUGAUUUUUCAUCAAGAAAAUGAUUGUACUACCAGUAUGCGUAAUUGCGCCUUGGCCUGUGCCCACAGCUUGUCUGGUUGAUUCCACAAGUGACUUCUUACGCAGCAUCCAUGAGGACCUCCACUGGAAUCUAAGAAAGACCCCGUCUUUUGAUGGUCCUCGAGAUUCAUAAUUUCCUUUCUCUCCAUUAGUUUAUUACAGAUGAAAGAAAGAAAUUGUAGAUGUUAUUUACUUAUUUUCUGAGACGCACUGCAUAGUGUCAUCGUAGAAGGGGCCUUGGGGGAUGUAACUUAAUUUUUUUUUGCUCCUUUUCUUAUUAUUCUAUCCCCCAUAUGAACAGCUGAAUGUCAGCAGAUAAUGAUGAAAAGUAGAAGAUAGAAAGUGUUUGUUAUAGGAUCAACGUUUUAAUUGUCAAAGACAAACUUGUAGGGUUUCACUUGUUUACUAUAUGAAUAUAUCUGGGCAUAUAAAAUUGUUGAA